CAUUGGCGUGGAAUUUCCUUUUUCCUUUUCUUUUUUUUCUCUGUGUUUUUAUUUUGGUCCUACAACGUUACUAUAGACCUUUCCUAGUUUUAAACAUAUUGAAGGAAAUAAUUGUUUAGUCACGUGUCUCUUUAAUAAUGCCAUGUGACUUUUUUGUUGUUAAUUUAUUUAGUUAGUUUUGGACGAAGUUGUCUAGCUCGCGUGGUCGAGCACCGCUACCUGCGUUAGAGUUGCGCGGGUUAUGCUACUUUCAUUUUAUCGAAUAUACAAUUCAGUUGCAGAUUUCAAUACUUGUUUCUCUCUGAAUUUUUCUCUUCUUCUUCUUUUCUACAAAACCCUAGCCUACUCAUCUUUCUUAAUUAAAUGUAACAAGGUUGAAGCCUUAAACUUAACACCGUUAAGAGACAACUUUCCAAUAACCAAACAACCUAAAAUGAAGGAUUAUUAUCAUUGUCCAAUGAGGUAGGAAAGUGAAGCAGGAAGUAAGUUUAUUGGUAAUGGAGAUCAGCAGUACUUUUUAGAUGAUUAUCAGCCAAGCCAAUCUUUGUUAAAUUAUCUGAUUGUCUUUAUUUCUACCUUUAGUGUCAUAAAAGAUGCGAAUGUGUUAAUAGAAAACGCACAUGUCUUAAGUGAUUGAUUAUGACUUGGAUCAUCAACUUCUAAUAGCUAAUGGACUUAUAGAGUUUGGAUUUUCAGGUAAUUAACAUGAUCAUCACCAUCAUUAUUGGUUUCAUGAAAACAGAACAUAGAUUUUAAAACUUCGAAUUUCCAAGGACACCAUAUCAAGGCAAAUAUUUCGAAGGAUUCCUAAAACUUCAGAAAUGUCAAAGUGGAGCCUUGACAGCGGAAGCAACUGAUACAUAGAGUGCUUUCCACAACCAGUUCUGAUAUGCAGAAGAAAUAUGAGCUUCCAUAAUCAAACACUGAGUUGGUGGGCCAUCAGGCGCCAAACUCUCAAGACAAAUGAUUCUGAAGAGAAAAUAAAAUUACCAGAAUGCCAGUUAUUUUAACUGAUGGAUUGACUUGAUUCUGAAGAGAAAAUCUUGUUGAAGGAAGUGGUUGCUAUGACAGAUGAAUCAAAGCGCAACUUUCUGAUGCAUUAGACGUGAGAUUUGGUAAGUGGGAAAUUAUUAUUUUUCAACAAUAUUCUCCAAUGAUAUUAUGAAUGUCAUACAAGCUGUAUAAUUGGAUUAGAAUUUUGCUUUUACAAUAUUUCAAUUCAGAUUUGUAUGGGCAUUGUAGUUUUUUCUUAAAUCAUACCAAAAAUUUCUUUUAUGUAUCUAUACAAAAUGAUUUAGCUUUGUUA
Molecule: long non-coding RNA, 1306 nt
Organism: Ziziphus jujuba (common jujube)
Lineage: Eukaryota; Viridiplantae; Streptophyta; Magnoliopsida; Rosales; Rhamnaceae
Exons: 2
Source: RefSeq, a predicted model, not a curated record